Molecule: ribosomal RNA, 555 nt
Filed under: Staurois natator (Mindanao splash frog)
Lineage: Eukaryota; Metazoa; Chordata; Amphibia; Anura; Ranidae
Description: partial 16S ribosomal RNA
Rfam family: Bacterial large subunit ribosomal RNA
Source: RNAcentral
CGCCUCUUGCUAAAACAUAAGAGGUCCAGCCUGCCCAGUGACAUAGUUUAACGGCCGCGGAACCCUGACCGCGCGAAGGUAGCAUAAUAACUUGCUCUUUAAAUGGGGGCUAGUAUCAAAGGCAUCACGAGGGUUGAACUGUCUCCUCACUCCAAUCAAUGAACCUGAUCUCUUCGUGAAAAAGCGAAGAUAUUUAUAUAAGACGAGAAGACCCCAUGGAGCUUUAAACUCAAUAUACACCCAUAAGGGUAGACACAACCUCAAACCCCUUGGACCUGUAUGAUAGUUUUAGGUUGGGGCGACCAUGGAGAAAAACAAAACCUCCACGACAAACGGAUUAAAACCCUAAUACAAGAGAGAUGUCUCUAAUAAUCAACACAUUGAUGUAACUUGACCCGAAUACUCGAUCAACAGACCAAGUUACCCUGGGGAUAACAGCGCAAUCUAUUUAGAGAGCCCGUAUCGACAAAUAGGUUUACGACCUCGAUGUUGGAUCAGGGUAUCCCGGUGGUGCAGCCGCUACCAACGGUUCGUUUGUUCAACGAUUAAAACCCU